Molecule: unclassified non-coding RNA, 436 nt
Filed under: Fabaceae sp. Ferm 14
Lineage: Eukaryota; Viridiplantae; Streptophyta; Magnoliopsida; Fabales; Fabaceae
Description: partial external transcribed spacer
Source: RNAcentral
GGUGUUUGGAUUGUCGCCGUCGGCUGGCUCUGUGCUAGUCCAUCGAACUGUCGACGGGCAAUCCUCCUCACUUGUUGUGAGUUCGAAUGGUGCCUCGGUGUGUCCCCUUGCGGUUCUCGCGUUGCCUACCCGCUCGACGGGAACCAACCCCCUGAGAGAUUUAGCCUCCGUCCGGCGCCUUGCRAAGGGCGCCGGAGGACGACGAAGCGCCCCCCGUGUGCCGCCGAGCCGUCAUCGGUCGUGUGGCCCAUGGGGGCGCGCUAUGCUCCCGGACCCAGUGCAUGCAGUGGACGGGGGGCGAUCGCCCCUCUUAGUGCCCCACGAGAACCUUCGAUCUCCUGUGUGACGGCCGCGCCCGCCCCGUGAACUCCCUCGCGGGCCACGGGCGGCGCGCGACGUCGUGAAGGAUUGCUACCUGGUUGAUCCUGCCAGUAGU